AACGCACAUUGCGCCCAUUGGUAUUCCGAAGGGCAUGCCUGUUCGAGCGUCAUUAUCACCCUCAAGCCUGUGCUUGGUGUUGGACGGCUUGGUCGCGUCCCGGCGCGACCCCUCCUAAAGACAAUGACGGCGGCCUGUGGUUCCCCCGGUACACUGAGCUUUUUACGAGGCACGCAUCGGACAAGGGCGCCCAGGACCCGGUCCCCCCUUCUUCGGAAGACUUCUAAGGUUGACCUCGGAUCAGGUAGGAAUACGCGCUGAACUUAA
RNAcentral lists this unclassified non-coding RNA (267 nucleotides) under Clavulinopsis sp. RNAcentral describes it as "partial contains 5.8S ribosomal RNA, internal transcribed spacer 2, and large subunit ribosomal RNA". The record is from RNAcentral. Lineage: Eukaryota; Fungi; Basidiomycota; Agaricomycetes; Agaricales; Clavariaceae.